GCUACCGGAUGUCCCGAG
Molecule: unclassified non-coding RNA, 18 nt
Filed under: Chlamydomonas reinhardtii
Lineage: Eukaryota; Viridiplantae; Chlorophyta; Chlorophyceae; Chlamydomonadales; Chlamydomonadaceae
Description: small RNA Cre_1773
Source: RNAcentral